Molecule: ribosomal RNA, 589 nt
Filed under: uncultured archaeon
Lineage: Archaea
Description: bacterial SSU rRNA
Rfam family: Archaeal small subunit ribosomal RNA
Source: RNAcentral
CCGGUUGAUCCUGCCGGACCUGACUGCUAUCGGAUUGGUACUAAGCCAUGCGAGUCAUUGUACAAUACAAGGCGGACGGCUCAGUAACACGUAGUCAACCUAACUCGUGGACGUGGAUAACCUCGGGAAACUGAGAAUAAACCACGAUAGGUCAUAGUGCCUGGAAUGGCUUAUGGUCCAAACAGUUUACUGCCAUGGGAUGGGACUGCGGCCUAUCAGCUUGUUGGUGAGGUAAUGGCCCACCAAGGCGAUUACAGGUACGGGCUCUGAGAGGAGAAGCCCGGAGAUGGGUACUGAGACACGGACCCAGGCCCUAUGGGGCGCAGCAGGCGAGAAACCUUAGCAAUGUGCGAAAGCACGACUGGGUCAGUCCGAGUGAUUCCUGAUAAAGGAGUCUUUUGCUUGUCCUAAAAGCACAGGUGAAUAAGGGGUGGGCAAGUCUGGUGUCAGCCGCCGCGGUAAUACCAGCACCUCGAGUGGUCAGGACGUUUAUUGGGCCUAAAGCAUCCGUAGNCCGGCUCUGCAAGUCUUCGGUUAAAUCCACCUGGCUUCAACAGAAUGGGGCUGCUGGAGAUUCUACAGAGCUAGG